This 72-nucleotide transfer RNA is filed under the name Schistosoma japonicum. RNAcentral's name for it is "tRNA-Pro". Lineage: Eukaryota; Metazoa; Platyhelminthes; Trematoda; Strigeidida; Schistosomatidae. The record is from RNAcentral.
GGCUCAGCGGUUCAAUGGUAAAGCGCUUGUCUCGGAGACAGAGGGUUCUGAGUUCGAUCCCCAACAGGGUCG